Molecule: ribosomal RNA, 1430 nt
Filed under: uncultured organism
Description: 16S ribosomal RNA
Rfam family: Bacterial small subunit ribosomal RNA
Source: RNAcentral
CUAGCUACAGGCUUAACACAUGCAAGUCGUUGGGCAUCAGGAAGAAAGCUUGCUUUCUUUGCUGGCGACCGGCGCACGGGUGAGUAACACGUAUCCAACCUGCCCUUUACUCGGGGAUAGCCUUUCGAAAGAAAGAUUAAUACCCGAUAGCAUAAUGAUUCCGCAUGGUUUCAUUAUUAAAGGAUUCCGGUAAAGGAUGGGGAUGCGUUCCAUUAGGUUGUUGGUGAGGUAACGGCCCACCAAGCCUUCGAUGGAUAGGGGUUCUGAGAGGAAGGUCCCCCACAUUGGAACUGAGACACGGUCCAAACUCCUACGGGAGGCAGCAGUGAGGAAUAUUGGUCAAUGGGCGCUAGCCUGAACCAGCCAAGUAGCGUGAAGGAUGAAGGCUCUAUGGGUCGUAAACUUCUUUUAUAUAAGAAUAAAGUGCAGUAUGUAUACUGUUUUGUAUGUAUUAUAUGAAUAAGGAUCGGCUAACUCCGUGCCAGCAGCCGCGGUAAUACGGAGGAUCCGAGCGUUAUCCGGAUUUAUUGGGUUUAAAGGGAGCGUAGGUGGACUGGUAAGUCAGUUGUGAAAGUUUGCGGCUCAACCGUAAAAUUGCAGUUGAUACUGUCAGUCUUGAGUACAGUAGAGGUGGGCGGAAUUCGUGGUGUAGCGGUGAAAUGCUUAGAUAUCGCGAAGAACUCCGAUUGCGAAGGCAGCUCACUGGACUGCAACUGACACUGAUGCUCGAAAGUGUGGGUAUCAAACAGGAUUAGAUACCCUGGUAGUCCACACAGUAAACGAUGAAUACUCGCUGUUUGCGAUAUACAGUAAGCGGCCAAGCGAAAGCAUUAAGUAUUCCACCUGGGGAGUACGCCGGCAACGGUGAAACUCAAAGGAAUUGACGGGGGCCCGCACAAGCGGAGGAACAUGUGGUUUAAUUCGAUGAUACGCGAGGAACCUUACCCGGGCUUAAAUUGCAGUGGAAUGAUGUGGAAACAUGUCAGUGAGCAAUCACCGCUGUGAAGGUGCUGCAUGGUUGUCGUCAGCUCGUGCCGUGAGGUGUCGGCUUAAGUGCCAUAACGAGCGCAACCCUUAUCUUUAGUUACUAACAGGUUAUGCUGAGGACUCUAGAGAGACUGCCGUCGUAAGAUGUGAGGAAGGUGGGGAUGACGUCAAAUCAGCACGGCCCUUACGUCCGGGGCUACACACGUGUUACAAUGGGGGGUACAGAAGGCAGCUAGCGGGUGACCGUAUGCUAAUCCCUAAAGCCUCUCUCAGUUCGGAUUGGAGUCUGCAACCCGACUCCAUGAAGCUGGAUUCGCUAGUAAUCGCGCAUCAGCCACGGCGCGGUGAAUACGUUCCCGGGCCUUGUACACACCGCCCGUCAAGCCAUGAAAGCCGGGGGUACCUGAAGUACGUAACCGCGAGGAGCGUCCUAGGGUAAAACU